This 5038-nucleotide long non-coding RNA is filed under the name Eucalyptus grandis. RNAcentral describes it as "long non-coding RNA (EGRA_LNC004132)". The record is from RNAcentral. Lineage: Eukaryota; Viridiplantae; Streptophyta; Magnoliopsida; Myrtales; Myrtaceae.
UGUUUGUGCGGAAGCGUGUGUGUGUGCAAGUGUGUAUGUGUGAAAUAUGGGCUACAAAGGCAAGGGUGUAUGGAUUAAAAAAAAAACAGAACUUUUAUUAUGAAAGUAAGUAUUACAAAGGAAGGAGUGGUUUUGGUUUUUUCAGCCAACUAAAACAGACACCACACCUCUAUUUAUAGGCGUGAGCACCGCCUCUUCUUCACCGACAUUGAGUACAAGAAAUAAUAAAAAAAUUUCAGCUUGCUUCUUUGUCCCUGCAUGUUGCGGCUUCUCCCGAUUAUUCUGGUCUCUCCUCCAUUUUUCUGCAUUUUUCUAUUCUCUCCAACUCUCAGCCACUUUUGUUGACUUUUCUUUCGCCUAUUUGCUGUCCACGUGUUCUGCUGCCCACGUACCAGAAAUUUCUUCAGCCUUUGAGAGUCUUCGAAGCUUGAUGCUGCCGAUUUUGCUCCUUCUCCAUUAAGCAUGAGUGUUCUAGAGUUUUCACAAAAUGGAUCAUAUUUUAACACUCCUCCUUGAUCCAUUUUUGUGAUACUCCAAGCAUGCUUCUCAAUGUCUCAAAUUUUGCUGUUGGUAGUGCUUUAGUGAAUAUGUCCGCAAUUUGAUCUUCAGUCUUACAAUACUUUAGCUCGAUCUCUCCUUUACUUUGCACUUCACGAAUGAAGUGAUAUUUUAUAUCAAUAUGCUUUGUUCUUCCAUGAAAGACUGGAUUUUUUGAUAUUGCUAUUGCGGACUUCUUGUCACAAAAUAUUGGCGUUGAUUCCAUUUGUGGUUCUCCAAUGUCUUCUAAAAUUCUUCGAAGCCAUAUUGCUUGACUGGCGGUCAUAGCAGCAGCGAUGUAUUCAGCUUCUGCAGUAGACUGUGCCACUGAGUCUUGUUUUUUAGAUGCCCAUGAGAAUAUUCCAGAACCUAAUGUGAAUGCAUAACCAGUGGUGCUCCUCCUAUCAUCAGCUGAACCAGCCCAGUCGCUAUCAGUGUAGCCGAUGAGCUUGGCGUUAGCACUUGGGCGAUACCAAAUGCCGUAAUCUAUAGUUCCUCGUAAAUAUCUGAGAAUUCUCUUGUCAACUCCAAAGUGAAUUUGACUCGGACUUUGCAUGAAUCGUGAUAGUAAACUUGUCGCAUACAUAAUAUCUGGUCGUGUAGCAGUAAGAUAUAGUAGACUCCCAAUUAGGCUUCUGUAGAGUGAAGCGUCUACUUUUUCUGCUCCAUCUUCUUUCAAUAGUUUCUCAUUCAUCACAAGUGGUGUUGCCACUAUUUUGCAAUUAUUCAUCUUGAAUUUUUCAAGGAGCUUUUCUACAUAUUUCUUUUGUGAGAUGAAUAUUCCUUUAUCUUGAUUAACUUCAAUACCGAGGAAGUAUUUCAUCAAGCCCAAGUCCGUCAUUUCAAAUGUCUUCAUCAUUUCUUCUUUAAAUUCUCGGAUCAUUGUCUCAUUGUUUCCUGUAUAUAUGAGAUCAUCUACAUAUAGAGAGACAAUGAGAGUGUCGGACUUACCUUGGGCCUUGAUGUAGAGUGUUGGCUCACUCAUACUCCUCCUGAAUCCUUGCUUGAUGAAGUAUUCAUCGAUUCUACUAUACCAUGCACGUGGUGCUUGUUUUAACCCAUAUAGGGCCUUCUUGAGUUUGAGAACUUUUUCUUCUUGGCCUUUGACAAUAAAGCCUUCUGGUUGAGCUACAUAUAUUUCUUCUUGAAGGUAUCCAUUUAGAAAUGCUGAUUUUACAUCUAGUUGAUAAAUCUUCCAAUCUUUUUGUGCCGCUAAGGCUAUAAGUGCUCGAAUAGUAUCAAGGCGGGCGACGGGAGCAAAAGUUUCAGUAUAGUCAAUACCUGGUUGUUGCAGGUAUCCUUUCGCCACAAGCCUUGCUUUAUGCUUUUGGAUUGAUCCAUCCGCGUUGAGCUUCGUCUUGUAGACCCACUUGACACCAAUGAUCUCUUUGUCUUUGGGUCGAUCAACAAGUUCCCAAGUUUCAUUUUUCUCGAUCAUCUUGAUCUCUUCCUCCAUAGCUUUUAUCCAAACUUCUUCUUUGGAUGCUUGUUCAUAGUUUUCAGGUUCUAAAAUAGCAAAGUUGCAUGUGUCGUAAAUUCUUCUAAGGGCUUUUACCCUUAGUACUGGAGACUCUGGAGUAGACUCUUCUUGUGUUGCUCUUGGAGAGCUUGGUGGAGUUAUAUCGUGAGUGGUAGAAUCCGGUACUACUCCUUCUUCUUGUGACAUUGUCUCCUCUUGAGCAGGUGGUAUGUCUGGCAAGGUUAUGUACUUCUUCUCAAUCUUCUCGCUUUCCCAAUUCCAGGCAGCAUUCUCGUCGAACUCGACAUCUCGACUAAUUAUUAGCUUUUUAGUUCUUAGGUUGUAAAUUCGAUAGCCUUUUGAUUGGUCACUAUAUCCAAGGAAUAUUCCUUUUUCUGUCUUUUCAUCUAGUUUACUCCUUUUUUGAGCAGGGAUGUGGACGUAGCAAAUGCAUCCAAACACUUUAAGAUGCUUUGCCGAAGGCUUUCGUCCACUCCAUGCUUCGACUGGAGUUUUAUUUUGUACAGCUUUCGUUGGACACCUGUUUAGUAGGUAUACAGCAGUAUAAACUGCUUCUACCCAGAAAGUGUUGGGAAGGCCUUUCUCUUUUAGCAUAGACCUUGCCAUCUCCAUGACGGUUCUAUUUUUUCUUUCAGCUACUCCAUUUUGUUCUGGGGCGUAGCCAACAGUUAGUUGAUGAUGGACUCCUUCAUCUUCACAAAAUUUAUUAAACUCCUUUGAAUUGUAUUCUGUGCCUCUGUCACUCCUUAGGACUUUGAUUCUUUGGCCACUUUGAUUCUCUACGUGGUUCUUGAAUUUUCUAAAGAUAGAGAAAACCUCGGAUCUUUCUCGAAGAAAAUAUACCCACGUCAUUCUUGUGUAAUCGUCAAUGAAUAGGAUGAAAUAUUUAUUUUGACUUGGUGUAGGUGUCCUCAUCGGACCGCACACGUCCGUGUGGACAAGUUCCAAUGGCUCCUUAGCUUUCCAUGAAACUCCAGAUGGGAAGGACUGUCUCUGUUGUUUUCCAAGAAGACAGCCUUCACAAACAUCUGAAAUUUCUGUGAUGGCUGGAAAAUCUCUCAUCAUAUUUUUCUGAUGGAGAAUUUUUAGCCCAGCAAAAUUGAAGUGGCCAAAUCUUCGAUGCCAUAGCCAUGAAUCAUCAAGUUGAGCUUUCAUGGCUAUAUCUUUGACCAAUUUCCAUUGAAUAGGAAAAUUGUUAUUUUUCAUCUUAACAGAGGCAAUGAUAUUUUUAUAUUUAUCAUAGAUAAUGCAGGUAUCUCUAUUAAAAUAUAGAGAAUAACCACUUUGUAUCAUUUGGCCCACACUUAAGAGAUUUUGUGCAAGACGAGGGACUAGAUAUACAUUACGUAUAUAUUUUGGGCCUUUAUUCGUUUCCACGGCGAUGGUGCCUUUUCCUUUGACAUCUACUAAUGCACCAUUGCCCAACUUUACUUGAGAUUUCACCGACUCAUCAAUAUCAGUGAAUAUAGUUUCGUCCCUUGUCAUGUGAUUGCUACACCCACUAUCGAUGUACCAUGUUUCGCUUUUAUUGUCAUUUGCCGCUUGGCCUGCGUAGAAUGUAUUCUCUUCACUUUCUUCUUUUUUUUCUGCAUAGUUUGCUCGAUUAUUUGUUUUUGAGCGACAAUCUUUUUCUACGUGGCCAUAUCUUUUACAAAAGCGGCAUUGUUUUUUAUUUUUAAACCAACAAUCCUUCUCCAAAUGAUUUGUUUUCUUGCAAAUGCCACAAGGUGGAUAAUUUUCUUUUUUUAUAAUUUCUCCUCCUCUUUUGUUUUUCCAUGAGCUCCUUCCAUCAUUUUUAGUUUGAUGAGACCGUAUAUUUACUUUGGACUGAAAGGCACUUUCAACCGAAUCUUCAUCUUGUGCCAUUAGUCUUUUCUCAAAUGCUUCUAGAGAGCCAAUUAAUUCACUUAUUGAUAGGGUCGUCAAGUCUUUAGUUCCUUCUAUAGUUGUAACUAUGGAGUUGUAUUUUUUGGUAAGUGACACCAAUAUUUUCUCAACAACCCUUUGAUCAGUUAUCCCAUCUCCAUAGGCUCUCAUUUGAUUAACGAGUUCCUUUAAUUUUCCACAAUAUUCUUGUACGGUCUCAUAAUUUUUCAUUUUAGAAUUCUCAAAAUCUCUUCUUAAUGUUUGAAGACGAAUAGUGCGUACCUUUUCCGAUCCUUGAAAUUCUUCUCGUAGUAUAUCCCAAGCCUCUUUUGCAGUCCUUGCUCCAAUUAUUCUCGGAAAUACGGUUUCCGAAAGAGCUUGCUGGAUAAAAUAUAGCGCCCUUGCAUCCUUUUGUAGUUGAUCCUUCGAAACACUUGCACCUUCUGGCGGAGCCUCGUGACCUUUUUCCACGAUGUCCCAUAAGUCUUGGGCCAUCAAGAAUGUAGUCAUUUUUAUGCUCCAAAAGUCAUAGUUGUUCCCAUAAAAAAUGGGAAUGGGAAAUGAGGACGAGGUAGAGUUGGCCAUGGUUUAGUUAGUGGGUAUUUGGAAAUAGUAGUUUUAGGAGUGGGUGGGUAGGACAAACGCCCGACACCAACCAAAGACGUGGCUCUGAUACCACUGUUGGUGUUUGUGCGGAAGCGUGUGUGUGUGCAAGUGUGUAUGUGUGAAAUAUGGGCUACAAAGGCAAGGGUGUAUGGAUUAAAAAAAAACAGAACUUUUAUUAUGAAAGUAAGUAUUACAAAGGAAGGAGUGGUUUUGGUUUUUUCAGCCAACUAAAACAGACACCACACCUCUAUUUAUAGGCGUGAGCACCGCCUCUUCUUCACCGACAUUGAGUACAAGAAAUAAUAAAAAAAUUUCAGCUUGCUUCUUUGUCCCUGCAUGUUGCGGCUUCUCCCGAUUAUUCUGGUCUCUCCUCCAUUUUUCUGCAUUUUUCUAUUCUCUCCAACUCUCAGCCACUUUUGUUGACUUUUCUUUCGCCUAUUUGCUGUCCACGUGUUCUGCUGCCCACGUACCAGAAAUUUCUUCAGCCUUUGAGAGUCUUCGAAGCUUGAUGCUGCCGAUUUUGCUCCUUCUCCAUUAAGCAUGAGUGUU